RNAcentral lists this small nuclear RNA (106 nucleotides) under Dasypus novemcinctus (nine-banded armadillo). The record is from RNAcentral. Lineage: Eukaryota; Metazoa; Chordata; Mammalia; Cingulata; Dasypodidae.
GUGCUUGCUUCAGUAGCACAUAUAUAAAAUUGGAACAAUACAGAGAAGAUUAGCACGGCCACUGUGCAAGGAUGACACACAAAUUGGUGAAGCAUUUCAUAUUUUA